Molecule: ribosomal RNA, 253 nt
Filed under: uncultured bacterium
Lineage: Bacteria
Description: partial 16S ribosomal RNA
Rfam family: Bacterial small subunit ribosomal RNA
Source: RNAcentral
AUUGAACGCUGGCGACAGGCCUAACACAUGCAAGUCGAACGGUAGCACAGAGAGCUUGCUCUCGGGUGACGAGUGGCGGACGGGUGAGUAAUGUCUGGGAAACUGCCUGAUGGAGGGGGAUAACUACUGGAAACGGUAGCUAAUACCGCAUAACGUCGCAAGACCAAAGAGGGGGACCUUCGGGCCUCUUGCCAUCAGAUGUGCCCAGAUGGGAUUAGCUAGUAGGUGGGGUAACGGGCUCACCUAGGCGACG